AGAGAAAACAGAAGCUUGGAGAGAAAGAACAUCACGGUUCUCUGAAGUCAGACACACCUGUAUCUGAACCCCAUGUGUACUGUCACCAAGCUGUGAAUAACUGGAAGCCUGAUUCCAAGUCCUGGUAACUGCAUUUCCUCUGAUUUAAACAGAGAUUUGAAGAGUAAAUUUCAUGGACCAAGAGGAAGUCCAGGAAGGCCUGGUUGUUUCACGGCUGUCCAGGUUGUGGAACAUCUGGGGGUAGGAGUGUGUGGCCCCUGUUGAAGCAGUCUGUGAGGUUGAGCCAGUGCACCUAUGGCCUCCUUUCAGGUACCCAGUUCUCCGUGGCUGCUGGACAGCUACAAUUGUCGGUGACUCAACUUCCCCAGCUAAAUCAACGCUACCUCUCAAACAGUGCCACCAACCAGGGGACAGGUACUCAAAUAUCUGAACCUAUGGGGAAUGUCU
Molecule: long non-coding RNA, 447 nt
Organism: Mus musculus (house mouse)
Lineage: Eukaryota; Metazoa; Chordata; Mammalia; Rodentia; Muridae
Product: predicted gene, 29960
Exons: 4
Source: RefSeq, a predicted model, not a curated record